GACGAACGCUGGCGGCGUGCUUAACACAUGCAAGUCGAACGGUAAGGCCCUUCGGGGUACACGAGUGGCGAACGGGUGAGUAACACGUGGGUGAUCUGCCCUGCACUUCGGGAUAAGCCUGGGAGACUGGGUCUAAUACCGGAUAGGACCCUGGGAUGCAUGUCCUGGGGUGGAAAGCUUUUGCGGUGUGGGAUGGGCCCGCGGCCUAUCAGCUUGUUGGUGGGGUGAUGGCCUACCAAGGCGACGACGGGUAGCCGGCCUGAGAGGGUGACCGGCCGCACGGGGACUGGGAUACGGCCCAGACUCCUACGGGAGGCAGCAGUGGGGAAUAUUGCACAAUGGGCGCAAGCCUGAUGCAGCGACGCCGCGUGAGGGAUGACGGCCUUCGGGUUGUAAACCUCUUUCAGCACCGACGAAGCGCAAGUGACGGUAGGUGCAGAAGAAGGACCGGCCAACUACGUGCCAGCCGCCGCGGUAA
RNAcentral lists this ribosomal RNA (478 nucleotides) under uncultured bacterium. RNAcentral's name for it is "partial 16S ribosomal RNA". It matches the Rfam family "Bacterial small subunit ribosomal RNA", at positions 28 to 523 of the family's 1533-position model. The record is from RNAcentral.